GCCAGCAGCUGGCUCUCUGCGACUCCCACACGGUCGCCCAUUGAAACUAAGCAGGGCUGCGCCAGGUUAGUACCUGAAUGGGAGAUCAAAUGGGAAAGCUAGGUUGCUGCCGGAA
RNAcentral lists this ribosomal RNA (115 nucleotides) under Danio rerio (zebrafish). Lineage: Eukaryota; Metazoa; Chordata; Actinopteri; Cypriniformes; Danionidae. The record is from RNAcentral.